Molecule: ribosomal RNA, 152 nt
Filed under: Ureaplasma urealyticum
Lineage: Bacteria; Bacillati; Mycoplasmatota; Mycoplasmoidales; Mycoplasmoidaceae
Description: partial 16S ribosomal RNA
Rfam family: Bacterial small subunit ribosomal RNA
Source: RNAcentral
UGUACACACCGCCCGUCAAACUAUGGGAGCUGGUAAUAUCUAAAACCGCAAAGCUAACCUUUUGGAGGCAUGCGUCUAGGGUAGGAUCGGUGACUGGAGUUAAGUCGUAACAAGGUAUCCCUACGAGAGCGUGGGGAUGGAUCACCUCCUUU